UUUUUUUUUUUAGUUUAUCCUGACUUUUUUUUAACCUAAAUUGUCGUCCUGACUUUUUUUUUUUGCAAGUGUCUCAUCCUGCCUUUUUUUUUUACUCGAAACUCCUGUCCUGCCUAUUUUUUUCAAAUUUCAUCCUAGCCCCCCCCCCAUAAAAAUCAAAUGGUAGCUCCCUUAAAUGUAAAAGUUUCACACCAAAUCUUAUAUUUGACAUCUCAAAAACAAACCCAUUACAGCGGCCCUUCUUUAUAUGGAACUUCGGAAUAUAGGAACCGAAGUGACACCCCUUCCUUUCCUGGAAUUUGAGCCUCCCAAUGGGGUUUUUGAUUACUUGUCUUAACUCAUUGCUGCGAGAGGAUAUGGAAAUACCGGGCGUCCGUCCGUCCAGUCUUGUUAGCGCUGUCAUUUGUACAAUUCUUGCCAGAUUUUUGUGAAACUGAUAUCAUCAUGCAGCAAUCAAUGUCUUUCACACAUGCGAGUAUAAAUCCUGAUCAAAUAUUUUUAACCAAUAUAUGCCCCUUGGAAAUAUAAAUUAUAAAUGCAAAUCUCAUUGUAUUUGUUUGGAAGCUUUUUCUCUCGAGAUAUAAAUUAAAGAACAGAAAAAGUGUUUUGUUUUUAGUUUUUGCCCUCUUGUACAUAAAAUGUAUCUUGGAUGCGGGGGACAUUGGAUCUCUGAUCUUUUAUUGAAAACAACAUUACUAUUUGUACCUAGAUGGAAAAGGGUAUUCGCGAGUCCUGGAAUAAAAACACUUCAUUACAAAUAGAGUCGUCGUCUUUCGUGCCACAGAAAACGAUAUCAGGAUAUGAUGAUUCAGAUGUUUUUAUCCAUCUUGUUUACAUAAAGGAAAAACCACGCAUAUGGCUUCGGAAUUGAUUGGAAGCUAUUCUCAUAUUCUCAUAUACAUUCGGAUACCAUCAUGUGUAUAUGCUGUCAACUGUCAUUAUAUAAUUAUUAAAGAAAUUUUUUUUGUCAAAUUGAUAUGGAUGCUUGAGCAUCUGCUCAUACAUGCAAGCUACGCCACUG
This 1021-nucleotide long non-coding RNA is filed under the name Mytilus galloprovincialis (Mediterranean mussel). The record is from RNAcentral. Lineage: Eukaryota; Metazoa; Mollusca; Bivalvia; Mytilida; Mytilidae.